UAGGGAAUAUUGGACAAUGGGGGCAACCCUGAUCCAGCCAUGCCGCGUGAGUGAAGAAGGCCCUCGGGUUGUAAAGCUCUUUUGUCCGGAAAGAAAAGCUUCGGGUUAAUACCCCGGGGUUCUGACGGUACCGGAAGAAUAAGCACCGGCUAACUUCGUGCCAGCAGCCGCGGUAAUACGAAGGGUGCAAGCGUUACUCGGGAUUACUGGGCGUAAAGCGUGCGUAGGUGGUUGUUUAAGUCUGAUGUGAAAGCCCUGGGCUCAACCUGGGAAUGGCAUUGGAAACUGGGCAGCUAGAGUGCGGUAGAGGGUAGUGGAAUUCCCGGUGUAGCAGUGAAAUGCGUAGAGAUCGGGAGGAACAUCUGUGGCGAAGGCGACUGCCUGGACCAGCACUGACACUGAGGCACGAAAGCGUGGGGAGCAAACA
This 427-nucleotide ribosomal RNA is filed under the name uncultured bacterium. RNAcentral describes it as "bacterial SSU rRNA". It matches the Rfam family "Bacterial small subunit ribosomal RNA", at positions 355 to 774 of the family's 1533-position model. The record is from RNAcentral.